RNAcentral lists this small RNA (76 nucleotides) under Flavobacterium weaverense. Its description in RNAcentral is "Flavo-1 RNA". It matches the Rfam family "Flavo-1 RNA". The record is from RNAcentral. Lineage: Bacteria; Pseudomonadati; Bacteroidota; Flavobacteriia; Flavobacteriales; Flavobacteriaceae.
CGCUAGCCCCGAUAGUAGCGUUAUCCUGUUGUGGCCGUGUUUGCCACAGCAGAUAUAGCGGAUAGCGGGAAAAAGC